RNAcentral lists this transfer RNA (75 nucleotides) under Parachlamydiaceae bacterium. RNAcentral describes it as "tRNA-His". It matches the Rfam family "tRNA". Rfam says of the family: Transfer RNA (tRNA) molecules are approximately 80 nucleotides in length. Their secondary structure includes four short double-helical elements and three loops (D, anti-codon, and T loops). The record is from RNAcentral. Lineage: Bacteria; Pseudomonadati; Chlamydiota; Chlamydiia; Parachlamydiales; Parachlamydiaceae.
GCGGUCGUAGCUGAGUUGGUCUAGAGCUCUGGAUUGUGGUUCCAGAUGUCGCGGGUUCGAAUCCCGUCGAUCGCC